Molecule: long non-coding RNA, 1202 nt
Organism: Rhinopithecus roxellana (golden snub-nosed monkey)
Lineage: Eukaryota; Metazoa; Chordata; Mammalia; Primates; Cercopithecidae
Exons: 2
Source: RefSeq, a predicted model, not a curated record
GGAAGAGCUGUGUUUUAAUUGCAUUACUGCUCAACUGCUAACUGUUUUGAUAUGUUGAACAAAGUCCAUUGAUUCUUCAUGGAGGAGUGCUUGCCGGGAGUAUGAGUCAGCACAUCUGUGUUAUUAACUUGUUCGGAAGCUUUUUGUGGCAGAUUGACUUUAAAAGCCCCCAAGGAAACAGAGGAUUUUAUUUAAUAGAAAUAUUGUCAGAAUGACAUUGAGAUUUGGGUUUGGCUUUCAAAUCACUGGAUACAAGUUGAAUCAGGUCUUUUCUCUGACAGAUAUUAGAAACAUGGUGUGUUGGAGAAAUACUUUCCAUUACCCGGCAGGGGCCUUACCUUGGGAGAGGGGGAUGAUAUUUGCCUGGCGCACCCUGGUGACCCAACCUAGCUGGCCUGACUUUCUAAAGGCAAGGAUGUGGGCUUGGUAUAGAGAGGUGGUGAAACCUGAAUAUUAGUAUUUUCAAAUCUGAUUACUAGUAUUUUCAAUCGACAGGACUGGGCGCAAAUCCAUCCUCAUUUAAAUGCAGGUCUACCUGAAAUCAUGCCUCACUGCAACCAUGCACUCCUGGGCUUAAGCGAUCCUCCUGCCUCAGCCUCCCUGAAGGUCUACCUGCAUUUGAAUAAGGAUGGAUGUGCGCCCAGGUCAAAUUAGAACUGAAGAAGCAACUCAGAGGUAUAAUACUGUGCCCCAGCGACCAAAAGCAGCCCUGCUACUGACUUCCUGCUACUAUUCUGAGUUGAAAGUGCUGAAAAGAAAACUCCAGGCCAUGCGCAUUUAAUUUGAUUGUAAUCUUGCCAGAGAUCCACCUGCUUUGCUCCCAUCAGUUUCCCUUGGCCUGUCCUGUAGAAAGGGACUGCAAUUUAGCACUUUUUUACAUUAAACAAAUAACCUGCACUCUCCACAAAAUACAGGUCCAAAUGGCAAUAGCUUAUGGGUCAUCAGUUUCUCCUAGGAAACCUGGGCCACAAGUUUCUGGGUGGGUUUCAGACACACAGUAGGUGCUGAAUUAAUUAAAGGUGUUUCUUUAACUCAGCCCACAAGCAUCUGAUUUGCUUAGGAAAUUGAUUAGGUAUAUAUUACCCAGAUGAUGUCAAUUUCUAUGUAACCAUUUCCCUCUUGUGUAAUUGAUGAGCCUCCUAAUGUUGAUUUUAUUUUGUUUUACCAAGCACUGUAUUUAGUUAAUAAAAAAUACAGAAUAG